AUGCCUCCUCACAGACAACCUGGCCAAACGAGGAUGGCCACACAAUGCAUCAUGCAGUCUCUGCUAGAGGACACCGCAGAGCGCAUUUUUCACCUGCUCGCCUCAUGCUCCUUCACCACGGAGCUUUGGCAGAGGGUGCUAAACUGGUGCGAUCUACCGGCGACGCUGGCACCGUCCUCGACCGCAGCAAACCUUCUAGAAUGGAGGGAUCAAAGCCGGUCCAGGGUGGCGAGGGACCAUAGACGUGGAUGGAGCUCGCUGGUGCAGCUGGUCUGGUGGACGGCAUGGAAAGAACGAAAUACGCAAAUCUUCGAUAACAAGUUCUCGAAGGGGGUGCAGGUCUUCCACCGCCUGAUUGAAGACAUCGACACUUGGACGAUAGCCGGCCGUAACAAGAUCAAGAACCUGCUGCAUAGACCUCUAGAACCAGACUAG
RNAcentral lists this ribosomal RNA (435 nucleotides) under Triticum aestivum (bread wheat). RNAcentral's name for it is "partial small subunit ribosomal RNA". Lineage: Eukaryota; Viridiplantae; Streptophyta; Magnoliopsida; Poales; Poaceae. The record is from RNAcentral.